GGGCUCCGGCAAGGGGCUGCUGCGCGCGCUGCAGGCGCGCGACCGGGCGCUCGGCGACGACCUCGGCGCUCGGCUCACCCAGGGCCUC
RNAcentral lists this transfer RNA (88 nucleotides) under Barrientosiimonas humi. RNAcentral's name for it is "tRNA-Cys(gca)". The record is from RNAcentral. Lineage: Bacteria; Bacillati; Actinomycetota; Actinomycetes; Micrococcales; Dermacoccaceae.